This 253-nucleotide ribosomal RNA is filed under the name uncultured bacterium. RNAcentral describes it as "partial 16S ribosomal RNA". It matches the Rfam family "Bacterial small subunit ribosomal RNA", at positions 524 to 776 of the family's 1533-position model. The record is from RNAcentral.
UACAGAGGUCUCGAGCGUUAGGCGGAAUCACUGGGCUUAAAGCGUGUGUAGGCGGAUCGGUAAGUACCUUGUGAAAUCCCACAGCUUAACUGUGGAACUGCUUGGUAUACUGCCAGUCUUGAGCCAGCUAGGGGCGACCGGAACAAAUGGUGGAGCGGUGAAAUGCGUAGAUAUCAUUUGGAACGCCAAUGGUGAAAACAGGUCGCUGGGGCUGUGCUGACGCUGAGACACGAAAGCCAGGGGAGCGAACGGG